This 292-nucleotide ribosomal RNA is filed under the name uncultured bacterium. RNAcentral describes it as "partial 16S ribosomal RNA". The record is from RNAcentral.
GGACUACUCGGGUUUCUAAUCCCAUUCGCGACCCACGCUUUCGUGUUGGAGCGUCAGGAGCGGGCCAGUUUCUUGCCUUCGCUUUCGGUGUUCCCCAUGAUAUCAACGCAUUUCACCGCUACACCAUGAGUUCCAGAAACCUCUCCCGUCCUCUAGUCCUGCCGUUUCCCGCGCGGCUCCUCGGUUGAGCCGAGGAAUUUAACGCGAGACUAACAGAACCGCCUACACACCCUUUACGCCCAAUGAUUCCGGAUAACGCUUGAAGCACUCGUAUUACCGCGGCGGCUGGCAC